CAGUAGCCGCGGUAAUACGGAGGGUGCAAGCGUUAAUCGGAAUUACUGGGCGUAAAGCGCACGCAGGCGGUUUGUUAAGUCAGAUGUGAAAUCCCCGGGCUCAACCUGGGAAUGGCAGUGGAUACUGGCAAGCUAGAGUGUGUCAGAGGAUGGUGGAAUUCCCGGUGUAGCGGUGAAAUGCGUAGAGAUCGUGAGGAACAUCAGUGGCGAAGGCGGCCAUCUGGGACAACACUGACGCUGAGGCACGAAAGCGUGGGGAGCAAACAGGAUUAGAUACCCGUGUAGUCCCUGUCUCUUAUAC
Molecule: ribosomal RNA, 301 nt
Filed under: uncultured bacterium
Lineage: Bacteria
Description: partial 16S ribosomal RNA
Rfam family: Bacterial small subunit ribosomal RNA
Source: RNAcentral